UGUAUCCACGGACCCACCUACUCCCACAGA
RNAcentral lists this non-coding RNA (30 nucleotides) under Mus musculus (house mouse). The record is from RNAcentral. Lineage: Eukaryota; Metazoa; Chordata; Mammalia; Rodentia; Muridae.